CACGCUGUUUGACUUUGAUAGAGUUUCUCAGCAUUUUUUUGAACUUACUGUGAACAUGUCAGCGAGAAUGAUCCUUGUAAAAAGGGAUUAAUGCCCCUACCAAAUGGGACAUGCGUUAUACCGUGUCCUGCAGGACAAGUUAGGGAUGACCAUGAUGACUUUAUAUGCAAACUGCAAACAAAUAAAUCUAGUGUCCCCAAUGAUACAGAUGGUGUGACAGAGACUACCAUUGGAUCUAAAGUAACUACAGGUCAGUUACCCAGACUUUACUGGU
Molecule: long non-coding RNA, 274 nt
Organism: Mercenaria mercenaria
Lineage: Eukaryota; Metazoa; Mollusca; Bivalvia; Venerida; Veneridae
Exons: 3
Source: RefSeq, a predicted model, not a curated record